RNAcentral lists this ribosomal RNA (199 nucleotides) under uncultured bacterium. Its description in RNAcentral is "partial 16S ribosomal RNA". It matches the Rfam family "Bacterial small subunit ribosomal RNA", at positions 326 to 539 of the family's 1533-position model. The record is from RNAcentral.
ACGCUCGACACCUACGGAAGGCAGCAGUGGGGAAUAUUGCACAAUGGGGGAAACCCUGAUGCAGCGACGCCGCGUGAGGGAAGAAGGUUUUCGGAUUGUAAACCUCUGUCCUCGGUGAAGAAGGAAGACGGUAGCCAAGGAGGAAGCCACGGCUAACUACGUGCCAGCAGCUGCGGUAAUCUGAGCGGGCUGGCAAGGC